GAUGAACGCUGGCGGCGUGCCUAAUACAUGCAAGUCGAGCGAACAGAUGAGGAGCUUGCUCCUCUGACGUUAGCGGCGGACGGGUGAGUAACACGUGGAUAACCUACCUAUAAGACUGGGAUAACUUCGGGAAACCGGAGCUAAUACCGGAUAAUAUCUUUAACCGCAUGGUUCAAUAGUGAAAGACGCUUUUGCUGUACCUUAUAGAUGGCUCCGCGCCGCAUUAGCUAGUUGGUAAGGUAACGGCUUACCAAGGCAACGAUGCUUAGCCGACCUGAGAGGGUGAUCGGCCACACUGGAACUGAGACACGGUCCAGACUCCUACGGGAGGAAGCAGUAGGGAAUCUUCCGAAAUGGGCGAAAGCCUGACGGAGCAACGCCGCGGGAGUGAUGAAGGUCUUCGGAUCGUAAAACUCUGUUAUUAGGGAAGAAGAAAUGUGUAAGUAACUAUGCACGUAGUGACGGUACCUAAUCAGAAAGCCACGGCUAACUACGUG
RNAcentral lists this ribosomal RNA (497 nucleotides) under uncultured bacterium. RNAcentral describes it as "partial 16S ribosomal RNA". It matches the Rfam family "Bacterial small subunit ribosomal RNA", at positions 28 to 507 of the family's 1533-position model. The record is from RNAcentral.